CACACACAGCUCACGCCACACGUCACACGUCAGAUGUUGGCGCCGUAAUUUAAUAAGCUCUAUGCGGCCCGCUAUUCUGCCACACGGCGGGCUGCGCCGUGACACGGCGAUCAACGGGCCGCACCGACGACCUUGCAGUCGACGCGGCAGUUUAAAACAACGAAUCACCGUCGCUUCGCGGGCAUCAGUUGAACCGACGCGCACACAAGAUUGGCGGACCGGUGAUGGCCAAUAAAACGGAGCGUCGGCGCGUCGGGUGUGAGGAUCGGCCGGGAACCCCCGUCGCAGCGUCUCUUUGGCAGCCAACAACGGUCACGAACACAAUGCACAAUUUUUAUAAAUUCAAAUUCAAAUAAACUUUAUUUUCAAGACGAACUAUCAUUCCCCAACAUGCUGGACCUUCGAGCCGAACAUUAUUAAUCGCUAGAACCGUCGUCGAGCCGAACAAUUCAAGAGUCAAGACUGCCAAGUAUCAAAAAGCCGUCAUCGAGCAGCCCGAUCACCUUCACAGCCAUACAUACGGCCGGCCACCCAUCCCAUCACCUAUACCCGAUCAGUUUUGCUUCAUACUAAUCGCAACAAUAAAUUGAUUCCAGCGGUAUUUCCGGGUUCGGGUUGCCGAGUGAUCGCAGCAGCAGCUCGAGGCGCGGUGUGUUUGCUGAACUACGCGUACACAUCGCGAGGCAGCUCGAGACGCGGUGUGUUUGCUGAGCUACGAGUGCGCAUCGUGAGACGCAACCAGGAAUUAUCAACUCGCUCACUUGCUUUUGUUUCGCUUUGAGCAUCAACGGUUGAAGCAUGCAGGGCCGCAGGCACUUCUGUACAACGUGCGUGAUUCACACUGGCCGGUUGCAGGCAGAAACCUGGCAAGGAAAAUUGUACAUGAAUGUGUCACCUGUCGUAGAUUUAGAGGUAAAACACUGACUCCUAUAAUGGGCAAUCUGCCAAAGGAUAGAAUCACACCCAGUUUUCCAUUUUGCGCUGCGGUGUUGAUUAUGCUGGGCCAGUUCUUAUAUUGAAUCGGAAAGGUAGGGGUGCUAAGCUUAUCAAGGGUUACAUAUGUCUGUUUGUUUGUUUUGUAACUCGGGCUGUUCAUCUAGAGCUGGUCAGUGACCUUUCCACAGACGCUUAUUUAUUAGCUUUAAAACGAUUCAUUUCACGUCGGGGUAAGCCCUCUGAUAUAUACUCAGACAAUGGUAGAAAUUUUGUAGGUUUAAUGACAGAAUUCACUAAAUUCAUAUCAACCUGCUCAGCUGAUAUCGUUGAAUACGCAACUACUCAAAA
RNAcentral lists this unclassified non-coding RNA (1284 nucleotides) under Manduca sexta (tobacco hornworm). RNAcentral describes it as "uncharacterized LOC119189674, transcript variant X7". The record is from RNAcentral. Lineage: Eukaryota; Metazoa; Arthropoda; Insecta; Lepidoptera; Sphingidae.